This 60-nucleotide unclassified non-coding RNA is filed under the name synthetic construct. The record is from RNAcentral.
GAGGAUCGUAGCAGAGAAACGGGUGUUGCAAAGGCGCGAUAUUUGGAGCACAUGAUUCGU